Molecule: long non-coding RNA, 1690 nt
Organism: Salvia miltiorrhiza (redroot sage)
Lineage: Eukaryota; Viridiplantae; Streptophyta; Magnoliopsida; Lamiales; Lamiaceae
Exons: 2
Source: RefSeq, a predicted model, not a curated record
AGAAUUUAAAUAAAGGCCCAAUUACAAUAAAGAAAGCCCAAUUAAAAUAAAAGAGCCCAACUUUAAUUAAAAUAGGAAAAAGCCCAAAUCUUCCCCCCCAACAUCUCGGUUCUCUCUCUCUCUCUCAAUACACACUCACACGCACCCACACAAAUAGAUCUCUCUCUCUUCCUCUCAAUUCUCAUCUCUCUCUUCUCCAAUGAGGGCUCGCCGCCGCUGCUCCGGAAUCCGGCGAGGUCGACAGCCGCGCCAAGGUCCGACGCCUCCUCGCCUCUCUUCUUUCUCUCGUUCACAGCCCACCAAAUCCGGCUUCGUCGAUUCAGCGCCGCUGUCUUCCGAUUCAGAGCAAUCGACGAGUCCUCUCUAGUUUCCGUCGAAUUUCGUCAAGUAGCAAGGCUCUGCCUCUGUCGUUCACCAUGAGUCGCCGUCACUGAGCAACCGACGAGCACCGCCGCCGCGACUCUCUCUCCGACCAGAUUCGCCUCUCUUUCUGCUCCCUCGAAUCUCCUCCGGAUGUGGCCGAGCAGCAGCUGAUCGGCCCGUCAUCUCUCCCUUCGUCGACCAGCUUCGCAUCCAGCCGCCGUCCAGCCCCCUGUCCAGCCGCCGUCCAGCCCCCUUUUCUCUCUCUGGAUCGACGGGCAGCAGCUAAGCCGCCUGCUGCUGUUGCCGUUCUCGGACUUCACCGUCGAAAGUCUGUUGUCUCCAUCGAUUCUCCGAGCCCCGACGCCGCUGCUGCUACUGGAAUCCGGCGAGGACCAUCGCUGAGGUCGGGAGUCUUCUACCUUUCACCGCUCGACGCCGUCAACGCUGCUGUCCUUGGAACCGCCGCUGCUGCGUACGAGUCCGGCGUGCCUCUGCACGUCGCCGUGAUUCACGGUUGGCGCUUGGAUCCCCUUGAGCCGUCGCCCAAUCAUCGCUUCAUGGCUCGACCGAACAGGCUGCGCCCUUUUCCAUUCGAAGCUAAGUUCAUUCUUAAUACUCUAUUGUGAACGAAACUCAAAGCUUGUUGUAAACUCAGUUCAUGAUUCUAUUGAGCUCUAGUAUUUCUAUAAUUCGAUUAUGCAGUGGGUAAAACUAGCCAUAGUGGUUUGUUUCUAUUUCGAAAGUCCUCAUUGUCUAACUCAUGAAUAACACAUAAAAACUGACUUUAGUUGAUUGCUAUGUCCAUUAUGCAACAAUGUUUUCUAUCAUUAUAUACUGAUCAUGCUUUGAUAUGCAUACAACUGGAUUGAAUAUUUGGUAUUGAAUUAAUACCUUGAAAAUGACUGUUGGUUGGCUGAUUGUCGUUGGUUUAAAUGAAGCUGAUAGAAUCUGAAAUAGAAUCAUAUGAUGUUCCCCUUAAUAAUGCAGGAGGAAUACAUGGCAGAGCUAGAGAGAGUUGAAGUAUGGCUUACCCCUUUGAACUUGGCAGAGUAAUGAAUGAAGGUUAUCUCUCUACUCCUUCAAUUGUUGAGGUGGAAGAAUGUGGUGUUGUUUGGCUGGAGUUAACUAAGUGAGGAGGAGUUGUUGCUCUUCAAUUGGCUUGACAAAGUGUAGUGGUGGUGUUGUAUGAAUGGGGAGAAAAGCAUGGUGGAGCGAAAAAGAAAGUUUGUGUAAUGAUACUGAUGACUUUGUAUGUUAUUAUGAGUUGUGGACAUCAAUGUAUCAAUGUGAUUGGAAUAUUGUAUAUUGUUACUGGUAGUUGUAAAAA